This 497-nucleotide ribosomal RNA is filed under the name uncultured bacterium. RNAcentral describes it as "partial 16S ribosomal RNA". It matches the Rfam family "Bacterial small subunit ribosomal RNA", at positions 28 to 507 of the family's 1533-position model. The record is from RNAcentral.
GAUGAACGCUGGCGGCGUGCCUAAUACAUGCAAGUCGAGCGAACGGACGAGGAGCUUGCUUCUCUGACGUUAGCGGCGGACGGGUGAGUAACACGUGGAUAACCUACCUAUAAGACUGGGAUAACUUCGGGAAACCGGAGCUAAUACCGGAUGAUAUUUUGAACCGCAUGGUUCAAUAGUGAAAGACGGUCUUGCUGUCACUUCUAGAUGGAUCCGCGCUGCAUUAGCUAGUUGGUAAGGUAACGGCUUACCAAGGCAACGAUGCAUAGCCGACCUGAGAGGGUGAUCGGCCACACGGGAACUGAGACACGGUCCAGACUCCUACGGGAGGCAGCAGUAGGGAAUCUUCCGCAAUGGGCGAAAGCCUGACGGAGCAACGCCGCGUGAGUGAUGAAGGUCUUCGGAUCGUAAAACUCUGUUAUUAGGGAAGAACAGAUGUGUAAGUAACUGUGCACAUCUUGACGGUACCUAAUCAGAAAGCCACGGCUAACUACGUG